CCUACGGGUGGCAGCAGUGAGGAAUAUUGGUCAAUGGACGAGAGUCUGAACCAGCCAAGUAGCGUGAAGGAUGACUGCCCUAUGGGUUGUAAACUUCUUUUAUAUGGGAAUAAAAUGUUCCACGUGUGGGAUUUUGUAUGUACCAUAUGAAUAAGGAUCGGCUAACUCCGUGCCAGCAGCCGCGGUAAUACGGAGGAUCCGAGCGUUAUCCGGAUUUAUUGGGUUUAAAGGGAGCGUAGGUGGAUUGUUAAGUCAGUUGUGAAAGUUUGCGGCUCAACCGUAAAAUUGCAGUUGAAACUGGCAGUCUUGAGUACAGUAGAGGUAGGCGGAAUGCGUGGUGUAGCGGUGAAAUGCUGAGAUAUCACGAAGAACUCCGAUUGCGAAGGCAGUUCACUGGACUGCAACUGACACUGAGGCUCGAAAGUGUGGGUAUCAAACAGGAGUAGAUACCCUAGUAGUC
Molecule: ribosomal RNA, 460 nt
Filed under: uncultured bacterium
Lineage: Bacteria
Description: partial 16S ribosomal RNA
Rfam family: Bacterial small subunit ribosomal RNA
Source: RNAcentral